AGAUUGAACGCUGGCGGCAUGCUUUACACAUGCAAGUCGUGCGGCAGCGCGGGGGCAACCCUGGCGGCGAGCGGCGAACGGGUGAGGAAUACAUCGGAACGUACCCCGGAGUGGGGGAUAACCCAGCGAAAGUUGGACUAAUACCGCAUAUGCUCUGAGGAGGAAAGCAGGGGACUUCGCAAGAGGCCUUGCGCUCUGGGAGCGGCCGAUGUCCGAUUAGCUAGUUGGUGGGGUAAUGGCUCACCAAGGCGACGAUCGGUAGCUGGUCUGAGAGGAUGAUCAGCCACACUGGGACUGAGACACGGCCCAGACUCCUACGGGAGGCAGCAGUGGGGAAUUUUGGACAAGUGGGGCAACCCUGAUCCAGCCAUGCCGCGUGCGGGAAGAGGCCUUCGGUGUAACCGCGUUUGGUCGGAAGAAGGCGAGCGUUGAAUACGGCCUGUCUUGACGGUACGCAGAAUAGCACGCUAACACGUGCCAGCAGCCGUACG
This 491-nucleotide ribosomal RNA is filed under the name uncultured soil bacterium. RNAcentral's name for it is "bacterial SSU rRNA". It matches the Rfam family "Bacterial small subunit ribosomal RNA", at positions 26 to 521 of the family's 1533-position model. The record is from RNAcentral.